UUGUUUAUCAAAAACAUGUCCUAUUGAUUUAAUUUUAGGUCUGACCUGCUCAAUGAUUUAUUUUAAUAGCUGCAGUAUAUUAACUGUACAAAGGUAGCAUAAUCAUUUGUCUUUUAAUUGAAGGCUGGUAUGAACGGUUGGACGAAAAGUGGACUUUCUUUAUCUAAUUUAUUUUGAAUUUAAUUUUUUAGUUAAAAAGCUAAAAUUUAUUUGUAAGACGAGAAGACCCUAUAGAAUUUUACUCUUAACUUGUAUUCUAUAUUUGUUUAAUUUUAUAAUUUAUUUUAUAGUUAAGUGUUUGGUUGGGGUGAUUUUGAGAUUUUUUUAACUCUCAAUUUUAAAUUUUUCAUUAAUUAAUGUUUUAUUGAUCCUGUAUUAUGGAUUAUAAGAAAAAAUUACCUUAGGGAUAACAGCGUAAUUCCUUUGGAGAGUUCAUAUCGAUGAAGGGGAUUGCGACCUCGAUGUUGAAUUAA
Molecule: ribosomal RNA, 473 nt
Filed under: Gonystus nasutus
Lineage: Eukaryota; Metazoa; Arthropoda; Insecta; Hemiptera; Lygaeidae
Description: partial 16S ribosomal RNA
Rfam family: Bacterial large subunit ribosomal RNA
Source: RNAcentral